UACAGAGGUCCCAAGCGUUGUUCGGAUUUACUGGGCGUAAAGGGUGCGUAGGUGGUGGGGUAAGUUUGACGUGAAAGCUUCGGGCCUAACCCGAAAAUUGCGUCGAAUACUAUUCUGCUAGAGGGUCGGAAGGGAGACUGGAAUUCUCGGUGUAGCAGUGAAAUGCGUAGAUAUCGAGAGGAACACCUGUGGCGAAGGCGAGUCUCUGGACGAUUCCUGACACUGAGGCACGAAAGCUAGGGGAGCAAACGGG
RNAcentral lists this ribosomal RNA (253 nucleotides) under uncultured bacterium. RNAcentral's name for it is "partial 16S ribosomal RNA". It matches the Rfam family "Bacterial small subunit ribosomal RNA", at positions 524 to 776 of the family's 1533-position model. The record is from RNAcentral.